CCCUUGUACCCUGGCCAGCGCAUGUAGGUGGUGUGACCUGGGAGGACAGCGGAGCCAGGAGUUCCGCAGCUGUGUUGGAAGCCAGGCUCCCAGCGGCAAUGUUCCAGUGAGCCAGAGGGGGAGCCAGAGAGCCGGGAGGCUCCAGCCUGGUCCAGAGAGAAACAGGCAGCACCUGCCCAAGGCGAUUGUGUCCUGCAGUUUGAAAAACACUAACAUAGUAAAGCUCAACAAAUGUUUGGCUCCUUCACAAUCAGUGAAGAAUUAGGUACUUUCUUGCCAAAGAUAGCUGAAGCUCAAAGCCUGUACCAUAUGGACACUUGGGAUAUUUUGAGCAACCAUGUUGGGAUGCGGGCUAGUGGCAGCACCAACUGAUAACGUGGCUAUGGGAGCUAUUUUAAGUGUUCACCUACUCUCCCCAUCCCAUGCCCUCCCCAAAUGCCAAUGGUUCUCAACAUUUUUUGGAUCAUGGCCCCUUCAAGGAAUGGAUGGCUACCGAGGAUCCUCUUGUCAGAACAGCACAUGUCCACAUAUCUGCCACAUUCUGCACUUUAUUCCAGAGGCUCUAUGGACUUCAGAAUUUGAACCCUAUUCCAGAUAUUCAGACUCAGAGACCUAGAGGUAUGUCUCUGCUGCCUGCCUCUUUCCUCUGAAACCAUGCCUUAAAAACACCACAGGGACAGUGAAACCUGCUUUUCUGGAUCACAUUCUGAAAAUUGCUGUUCAGAAGAGCUGCAGCUUCAACAGGGCCACAGGGAUAUAAAAGAAGCCCUGGAAUGAUGUCUUCCCUAAAAACAACAUAAUCAUCAAUAAUGAAUAGGAAGAACCCAUAUUGUGAAAAUGGCCAUACUGCCAAAAGCAAUUUAUAGAUUCAGUGCUAUUCCCAUUAAACUACCACUGACAUUCUUCACAGAAUUAGAAAAAACUAUUUUAAAAUUCAUAUAGAACCAAACAAGAGCUUGUAGAGCCAAGACAAUCCUAAGCAAAAAUAACAAAGCUAGAGGCAUCAUGCUACCCAACUUCAAACUACACUGCAAGGCUACAGUAACCAAAACAGCACAGUCCGGUACAAAAACAGGCACAUAGACCAAUGAAACAGAAAGAGAACUUAGAAAUAAAACCACACAUCUACAACCAUCUGAUCUUCUGAAAACAUGACAAAAGCAAUGGGGAAAGGAUUCCCUAUUUAAUAAAUGGUGCUAGAAGAACUGGCUAGCCAUAUGCAGAAAAUUGAAACUGGACCCCUUCCUUACACCUUACACAAAAAUUAACACUAGAUGAAUUAAAGACUUAAAUGUAAAACCCAAAACUAUAAAAACCCUAGAAGAAAAUCUAGGCAAUAACAUUCAGGACAUAGGCAUAGGGAAAGAUUUUAUGAAAUCGCCAAAAGCAAUUGCAACAAAAGCAAAAAUUGACAAAUGGGAUCAAAUUAAACUAAUGAGCUUCUGCACAGCAAAAGAAACUAUCAUCAGAGUGAACAGACAACCUAUAUAAUGGGAGAAAAUGUUUUCAAUCUAUCCAUCUGACAAAGGUCUAAUAUCCAGAAUCUACAAGGAACUUAAGCAAAUUUACAAAACCCCCCACAAACAACCCCAUUAAAAAGUGGGCAAAGAAUGUGAAUAGACACUUCUCAAAAGAAGACAUACAUGCAGCCAACAAACAUAUGAAAAAAAAAGCUCAACAUUACUGAUCAUUAGAGAAAUGCAAAUCAAAACCACAAUGAGAUACCAUCUCAUGCCAGUCAGAAUGGCGAUUAUCAAAAAGUCAAGAAACAACAGAUGCUGGCGAGGUUGCAAAGAAAUAGGAACGUUUUUACACUGUUGGUGGGAAUGUAAUUAGUUCAACCAUUGUGGAAGACAGUAUAGCGAUUCCUCAAAGAUUUAGAAUCAGAAAUACCAUUUGAUCCACAAUCCCAUUACUGGGAAUAUACCCAAGGGAAUAUAAAUCAUUCUAUUAUAAAGAUACAUGCAUGCAUACGUUCAAUGCCACACUAUUCACAAUAGCAGACUUGGAAUCAACCCAAAUGCCCAGCAGUGAUAGACUGGAUAAAGAAAAUGUGGUAUAUAUACACCAUGGAAUACCAUGCAGCCAUAAAAAGGAAGAGGAUCAUAUCCUUUGCAGGGACAGGGAUGGAGCUGGAGGCCAUUAUCCUCAGCAAACUGGCAAAGGAACAGAAAACCAAACACCACAUGUUCUCACUUAUAAAUGGGAGCUGAACAAUGAGAACACAUGGACACAGGGAGGGGAACAACACAUAUUGGGGCCAGUUGGGGGAGUGCGGGGUGGAGAGAGCAUCAGGAAAAAUAGCUAAUGCAUGCCGGGCUUAAUACCUAGGUGAAGGAAGGGUUGAUAGGUGCAGCAAACCAGCAUGGCACAUGUUUACCUAUGUAACAAACCUGCAUAUCCUGCACAUGUAUCCCGGAACUUAAAAUAAAAUUUUAAAAAAUCAUCAAUAAUAACAAUGAAAGC
RNAcentral lists this long non-coding RNA (2466 nucleotides) under Pongo abelii (Sumatran orangutan). RNAcentral describes it as "lincRNA". The record is from RNAcentral. Lineage: Eukaryota; Metazoa; Chordata; Mammalia; Primates; Hominidae.